Molecule: ribosomal RNA, 414 nt
Filed under: uncultured bacterium
Lineage: Bacteria
Description: bacterial SSU rRNA
Rfam family: Bacterial small subunit ribosomal RNA
Source: RNAcentral
GUGCCAGCAGCCGCGGUAAUACGUAGGGUGCAAGCGUUGUCCGGAUUUAUUGGGCGUAAAGAGCUCGUAGGCGGUUAGUCGCGUCGGAUGUGAAAACCCAGUGCUUAACACUGGGCCUGCAUUAGAUACGGGCUGACUAGAGUGUUGUAGGGGAGACUGGAACUCCUGGUGUAGCGGUGAAAUGCGCAGAUAUCAGGAAGAACACCGGUGGCGAAGGCGGGUCUCUGGGCAACUACUGACGCUGAGGAGCGAAAGCGUGGGGAGCAAACAGGAUUAGAUACCCUAGUAGUCCACGCCGUAAACGGUGGGCGCUAGGUGUGGGGAACAUUCCACGUUCUCCGUGCCGCAGCUAACGCAUUAAGCGCCCCGCCUGGGGAGUACGGCCGCGAGGCUAAAACUCAAAUGAAUUGACGG